GCUGUUGGUUGUCGUUGGUUGAUGUUCUCAUCUGAAGAGAGAGCUGUUGGUUGUCGUUGGUUGAUGUUCUCAUCUGAAGAGAGAGGUGUUGGUUGUUGUUCUCAUCUGAAGAGAGAGCUGUUGGUUGUUGUUCUCAUCUGAAGAGAGAGCUGUUGGUUGUCGUUGGUUGAUGUUCUCAUCUGAAGAGAGAGCUGUUGGUUGUCGUUGGUUGAUGUUCUCAUCUGAAGAGAGAGCUGUUGGUUGUUGUUCUCAUCUGAAGAGAGAGCUGUUGGUUGUUGUUCUCAUCUGAAGAGAGAGGUGUUGGUUGUUGUUGGUUGUUGUUCUCAUCUGAAGAGAGAGCUGUUGGUUGUCGUUGGUUGAUGUUCUCAUCUGAAGAGAGAGGUGUUUGUUGUUGUUCUCAUCUGAAGAGAGAGCUGUUGGUUGUUGUUCUCAUCUGAAGAGAGAGCUGUUGGUUGUUGUUCUCAUCUGAAGAGAGAGCUGUUGGUUGUCGUUGGUUGUUGUUCUCAUCUGAAGAGAGAGGAGUUGGUUGUCGUUGGUUGUUGUUCUCAUCUGAAGAGAGAGGUGUUGGUUGUCGUUGGUUGUUGUUCUCAUCUGAAGAGAGAGGUGUUGGUUGUCGUUGGUUGUUGUUCUCAUCUGAAGAGAGAGCUGUUGGUUGUCGUUGGUUGUUGUUCUCAUCUGAAGAGAG
Carassius gibelio (silver crucian carp) is the source of this 685-nucleotide long non-coding RNA. RefSeq lists it as uncharacterized. The record is from RefSeq and is a predicted model, not a curated record. Lineage: Eukaryota; Metazoa; Chordata; Actinopteri; Cypriniformes; Cyprinidae. The transcript has 6 exons.